Molecule: non-coding RNA, 393 nt
Organism: Paramuricea clavata
Lineage: Eukaryota; Metazoa; Cnidaria; Anthozoa; Malacalcyonacea; Plexauridae
Source: the annotation of a GenBank genome assembly
UUUUUUUAUUUCGCUUCGACCGAUCCGGCACUAAAUUAUUGUAUCUCUUGCUUAUAAAAUUAAUUUAAUGUCGGAAACGUAUAUUUCUACUCGACAAAACUGUUUAUUUUAAACUUAAAUUCAUUGAAACUCUCACAUUUGAUUUACAAAAUCUCUCCCUGCUUUGUUUUUUCUCUCAUCCCUGAGCCCCCGAUCCUAGCGCCCGCGGGCUCUUCUGUUCUCAAUACUUUAUACAAGUCUUAAUAACUAUCUGUAAUGUCAAUAAUGUCUAAAAUUAUCUGCAUUAAAGAGUUUAUGAAACGCAUGUCUAUUAUCCUAGAUACACAGAUGACAAUGAAAAUAAUAUUAAAAAUUGUGAAAUACUGAACUAAACAAAAUAAACUAAUCUAAGUU